Molecule: long non-coding RNA, 2677 nt
Filed under: Ananas comosus (pineapple)
Lineage: Eukaryota; Viridiplantae; Streptophyta; Magnoliopsida; Poales; Bromeliaceae
Description: long non-coding RNA (ACOM_LNC007080)
Source: RNAcentral
UAUAAAAUAUGUGUCAAAGAUAAAUUUGUAUAGAACAAUAAAUUAUUUAAAUAUUUUAUAUUACAUAUAUUAUAUUAUUUUUAAUUUUAUAAUACUAAUUAUCUGAUAUUCUAUCAAUCAUCUAAUAUACUUGGCAGUAUAUAAAAUAUUAGUAUACACCACACACAAGUAAAGAUUUCUCCUCUCUUUUUUAAAUUAUUAAAUAUAGUUUCUCAAAGAGCAACGUCCUUAAGGCAACAACAAAGGAGAGCAUCCCACAUAUCUAAUAUGAAUUUUGAAUGCAUUCAUUGCACCGUAAACCGACUAUAAAAUAUAUAACAAAGAUAAAUUUAUGGCUGGGGCUACUAUACUCUUAUGAGUAUAUACCCACUUGUACUCAUAAAUUUUUAACUAUUGAUUGAUGGAAUGUGUGGUUAGGAUGAUGAUGAUCCCCACUUAGAAUGAUAGUGGUCCCCUACGGUUGAGUGGGUAGUUGGUUGAAUAGUAUUAUUUAACGGAUGGAAAAGAUCAACGGAAUAAAUCUAAGGGUCGAAAAUUUGUGAGUAUAAGAGAGUCAAUACUCAUAAAAGUACAGUAGCCGGACUCUAAAUUUAUAUAGUACAAUAAAUUAUUAAAUAUUUUAUGUUACAUAUAAUGUAUUAUUUUUUAUUUUAUAAUACUAAUUAUCAGAUAUUCUAUUAAUCAUCUAAUAUAUUUUGCGGUGUAUAAAAUAUUAGUCCAUGAGGUGUAAGGAAAGAUUUCUCCUCUUUGUCUUGUUCUUGGAAUUAUGAGUGCACUCUAUUAAACAUUCUCUACACUGGAUAUACAUAAUCUAUGCACCAUCUAUUUCUAUUCCUAUUCAUUAAUCCCCAUAAGAAAUGCCACGUGGCAGUGUUUCGUUCACUGUUUGCUUUCACCUUAUGAACGUAUGUCUCUUCGGCUUUCCGUUUCAUUAAUUCCUUCCCUAUAACGUCGACCUCUUCGGCUUAUCGUCUUAUUAAUUUCUGUUUUAUUAAUUUUUUUUCCAUAUCGUAUGUCUCUUCGGCUUUCCAUCUCAUAAUUCCUUUUUUGUAACGUCGGAAGGUAAUCAAAAAAGAAAGAAGAUGAGUUCCGUAAACUUAGAAACCCACACAAAAAAUCCAAACCCUUUAUCUUCCCUUUACAUAUAACAUUUAAUUAAUGCAUCCACCUAUCCUAAUCCUAAUAUAAUCUUAAACGAUACAAAUUCAUACAAAAGCCUCAUUCUCUCCUAUGCAUGUCAUAAAAAUAAAAAUCUAUUCAUUUUUUAUAAUAAAUUAUGACCUCUUUCAUUUGCCAAAAGAUGUGGCAUCAAUUUACUUUUUUCUAUUUUUUUUGUUAACUUUUAAUUUUGGUGUCUUCUUCUAUUCUCAUUUAGUACGAGGUGUGGAAUUUUUUUUUUUUUCAGCUCCUAACUUUAGUAUCUUCUCAUCUUCUCAACGUCCACCGCUUCACCUCUUUCCAGCCCACAAGUCUUUUCUUCUUCUCUACCAUCCACUUUUUCUAACUCCCAUAACCCUAUCUCCUCUUUUUUUUUGUAGAGUUCUUUAGAUACUUCAGGUCAUAGUGGUGGUGGAGGUGGUGAAUGAGAAAGUACUAGAGACCAAAGCGGUGGCGGCGACUGUGAAAGAAAGCAUGGGCAAUGGCAGUGAAGAUCAAGGUGGCGGCAAAAAUAAUAGUAAGUCUCACCCUCUUAGAGAUCAAUACCAAAUAAUAAUUUCUCUAUCCUUUUUUUUUCUCUCUUUUUUUUUUAUUUGUUAUCUAUUUUUAACCUAUUUUACAAUAUUUUUGGAAUUAUUUGAUAGUUUUUGUUUAAGGUGAGUUGGAUUGGAUUAAAAAUAUAAUAUUUCAAUAAUACCUGUCUGCCGCAUCGCGCAGGUAACUACACUAGUUAUACAUUAUUCCCCCCAAAAAAAGCCAUGUGGCGGAGUUUCCUUCCUUUAGCGAAACCAACUUUUCGGCUUCUUUUCACCUAUAACAUCUAAUUAAUAGUCCACUAAGCUUAACCUAACCCUUCGCCUUUCCUAUACACAUAACGUCGUCUUCCCGCCACCUAUAAUAUCUAAUUCUUCCCUGCACCUAUAACAUCUAAUUAAUAGCCCACUCACCUUAAUCCAACCCUUCGCCUUUCCUACAAACAUAACUUUUAAUUAAUUGUCCACUCACCUUAAUCCAACCCUUCACAUUUCCUACAAACAUAACGUCUAAUUAAUGGUUCACCUACUUUAAUCCUAAUCUAAACAGUAAAUCGUAGAAACCUACGAAAAGCCCAAUUCUCUUCUUCUCUAUUUUCUUUUCCUCCUCCAUGAGCUCCGAGGCUAAGAUCAAGCACGUUAUGUAGAUGGAGUAUAAGUUUGCACGCUGCAUCGUCGAGCUUAGUGUUACCAUCUUCAUCAAAUCGAGCUUUCCUUCAAAUUUCAGGAGUUAUUUUAAAAGAUUAAUGUAUUCUUUAUGUUGUAUCGUUAAAAUUUCUUAAAUAAUUUUAUUCAGUUUUUUUAAAUUUUUUUAUUUGUAUGGUAUUCAAACUAAUGUGUUUGUUAUACUAAAGAUUUAUUAUUUUUUCCUUUUUCUAUCCUUUGUUUUUUAUAUUUUUUUUCUCGAAAGUAAAGUUCUGUAUUAUAUUUACUGUAUUUGGUUGUGUUAGGUUGUAUAUCUUUUUGUCUCUUAAAAAUUUAUUAUA